UUGCAAUCCUUGCAUCUCCUCAUAUGUACAGAAGCCCCAAAUCCCUUCAUGAUGACAUCAGAUCCUCAUAACUAACAAAAAACCUUUUCUAAAAUGAGUGCUUUGUGGUAUCCAACUCCGCCUCCUCCAGAGCCUUAUAUAUUGACUUUCCCCCAAGGCCGCUUUGGAGAAGUCUUUCAGAGCUAUCUGAGAUGCUGCCUCCUGGGCUGCAGUCCUCCUUUUGUCCCAAAUAAAACUUAACUCGCCACUCUCAAGUUGUACAUCUUUUUUAGUCAACAGUUAUUGCGACCACGAAGGGACCCAGAGUGAACUUCCUUCCUUCAUCUGGACUCCACAAGGACCUGGAGCUUUGGUACCAGCAGCGGCCCCUUGUGCCCAUUCUUGGGGCGUGCAGAUGAAUUUGGAGUGUGACUCCUGGCUGGUGAAGUUCUGGUUUGGUUUUGUUUGAGUGUGCAGACAUCUGGUACAUACUGCUCGAGCUAAUAUGGGAAUUGCUCAUUCUAAGGUUCCGCACUCCACCUGGGAACCCCUUGGAAAAACAUAUAUAUAUAUUUUUUUGACUGGUCAAUCUAUAGCUAUGACAAGAGAAAUGGCCUAAAAUAUUAGAUCUUUAUUGACAAUAGGAUAGGAAAAUGGACUAAAGUUCCCUUAUGUCUAGGACUUCCUUCUGUAAUUAACAGCCUGGGGCUGAUCAAACUAAGACCCUCACUUCCCUAGAGGGACAAUCCCUGCUGGGAGCAAUCUGCCUUGUUAUAAGGACCAAGUUGAGCACUAUCUGGUCUAAAUUCUGGCUAUAAAACUAUGAUCACAGAAAAAUAUUAUUUUUUACAAUGUGGUCACAAUAUUCUUUAGACUCCAGAGAAAGCUUGAAGAAAAAAAUUAUCUUUUUAAGAAUUCUUGCCCUUAGGAAAUAAUUCCGCCUGGAAUGUGGGAGACCCUGGUUCGAUCCUUGGGUCGGGAAGAUCCCCUGGAGAAGGAAAUGGCAACCCACUCCAAUACUCUUGCCUGGAGAAUCCCAUGGAGGGAGGAGCCUGGUAGGCUACAGUCCAUGGGGUCACAAAGAGUCGGACAAGACUGAGCGACUUCACGUUCUUUCAUACCUUUAGACCAGAGCUCUCUGGAUCACUCUAGACCAUCUCUAAUUCCUGAAACCAAAAGGAAAAAAAAAAAGGAAACAAAACCUUUUAAAAUCUUACUCUUUUUUUUUUUUUUUACAACUAGUAUUCAUAACUGAGUUUGGAAAUUAAGCAGAAUAUCUUCAUUGUACCUAGGUUUAAUAUAAGUUAACUAUUAUUAUAUCUGUUGCAAGUUUGUCAGCAAGGAAAUUACCUUGAGUGAAGAAACUUCUAAAAAAUGUUAAGAAUAAUUAUUCUUUAGGAAUGUCUGUCUAAAAUAGUCUCUCCAGAUUGGGGUAACUUGAACUUCUAAGGGUUGUGCUAAAUUAAGUGUUGGAAGUGUAUUGAAUAGCUAAGUCAUUUCCAAAUAAAAUAAGAUUUUGAAACAUUUACUGCUGAGCACUAAUUUCCUUUUACAGAGAAACUAAAGAUUUCUGGGAUUAAAAAUGAAUGGUAUUUGGGGCCCUCCUAAAAUGUUCUACAAAAGCAAAGGUUUUAGAAAUUAUCACUGGUAUUUAUGCUUACCAAUCUAUAAAAUGCUAAAAUAAAAGUCAGUUCUUGGUUGCUUAAGGGAAAUAGGAAGUGUGUUUUCGGUAAAGAAGGUAUGAGGAAUGGAACUGCAUUUUGUGAAGGGAAAAGGGAAUAAACCUGCUUCACAGGUGGCUUUUUAGGAUGGAAGACCAGUCGUGGGUACAGAAAGUGAUGAGGUUUGUGAAACGCGAACCAUGAAGAAAGAGUUUUGUACAUGGUCAGGACUAAGUUUUUCUUUAUCUCUUAAAUGAUCUGUUCUAAAAGCUUUUAUUGUUACUUUGACUAAGUGAAUAGCUAUUGUUUCACAAUGACAUAUAAUCCUAUCUGACUGAGUUCUAAACCUUUUUGAUAUUUGUUGACAAAACUUCCUAAAUCCUUCUAAUGAAGAUUUCUGGCUAACUUCUGGAUUCUUCAGAGGGCCCCUGAAACACCCCAAAGAGAGAUAGUACACUAAUUUGGCUCAUUUUGUAUACAGAAUUACAUGGGAAAUAUUGUCAAGUGAGUAAUAAGUCUUGGGUUAUAUUGUAUGGUAAAUGUUACCAAUAUAGGUAUCCUAGAAACUGUAUAAUAGGACUUCCCUGGUGACUCAGACGGUAAAGCGUCUGUCUACAAUGUGUGAGACCGGGGUUCAAUCCCUGGGUCAGGAAGAUCCGCUGGAGAAGGAAAUGGCAAUCUACUCCAGUACUGUUGCCUGGAAAAUCCCAUGGACAAAGGAGCCUGGUAGGCUUCAGUUCAUGGGGUCGCAGAGUUGGACAUGACUGAGCGACUUCACUUACACUUACAGAAACUGUAUGGAGUUCCUAAAAUUCUGAUACGUUUGGGUAAAAUGUUAUCAGGCAUAAUUCUAGCUACUAUCUCAAUAUUGUCAUAGCAUUAACCAAGUUUUGUCUCUUCAAGAAGAUUUAUAAAAAGGACUUUUGAAAAAAUACCAGUUUCUGAACUGAGUAAGGAUUCUAAUAGAAAACCUGAUGACUUCACAAAAGUUAACAAAAGGACUGAAUGAACUGGUGAAUAUGCUUAUAACUUUUAUGGUUUCUAGC
Molecule: long non-coding RNA, 2686 nt
Organism: Bubalus bubalis (water buffalo)
Lineage: Eukaryota; Metazoa; Chordata; Mammalia; Artiodactyla; Bovidae
Exons: 2
Source: RefSeq, a predicted model, not a curated record